AGUUUGAUCAUGGCUCAGAUUGAACGCUGGCGGGAUGCUUUACACAUGCAAGUCGAACGGCAGCACGGACUACGACUGGUGGCGUCGAGAUAAGAUGGUAUCCUCCGAACGUGCUGGCCGCCAAGGAAUACUGCGCGGCCUUCGCCACCGCAUACGCCCUUCGGGGAAAGCGGGGGACCUUCGGGCCUCGCACUAUUAGAGCGGCCGAUAUCGAGGAUACUUCGUUGGUGGGGUAACGGCUCACCAAGGCGACGAUCCGUAGCUGGUUUGAGAGGACGACCAGCCACACUGGGACCGGGCCAGCGGAACUCCAGGAGGCAGCAGUGGGAAUUUUGGACAAUGGGGGAAACCUGAUCCAGCCAUCCCGCGUGUGCGAUGAAGGCCUUCGGGUUGUAAAGCACUUUUGGCAGGAAAGAAACGGCACGGGAUAUUACCCCGUGCAACUGACAGUACCUGCAGAAUAAGCACCGGCUAACUACGUGCCAGCGGCGCGGUAAUACCGUAGGGUGCAAGCGUUAAUCGGAAUUACUGGGCGUAAAGCGUGCGCAGGCGGUUCGGAAAGAAAGAUGUGAAAUCCCAGAGCUUAACUUUGGAACUUUACGUUUUUAACUACCGAGCUAGAGUGUGUCAGGAGGUGGAAUUCCGCGUGUAGCAGUGGUAGCGAAUAUGCGGAGGAACACCGAUGGCGAGGCGGCCUCCUGGGAUAACGCGACGCUCAUGCACGAAAGCGUGGGAGCAAACAGGAUUAGAUACCCUGGUAGUCCACGCCUAAACGAUGUCAACUAGCUGUUGGGGCCUUCGGGCCUUGGUAGCGCAGCUAACGCGUGAAGUUGACCGCCUGGGGGAAGUACGGUCGCAAGAUUAAAACUCAAAGGAAUUGACGGGGACCCGCACAAGCGGUGGAUGAUGUGGAUUAAUUCGAUGCAACGCGAAAAACCUUACCUACCCUUGACAUGUCUGGAAUCCGAAGAGAUUUGGGAGUGCUCGCAAGAGAACCGGAACACAGGUGCUGCAUGGCUGUCGUCAGCUCGUGUCGUGAGAUGUUGGGUUAAGUCCCGCAACGAGCGCAACCCUUGUCAUUAGUUGCUACGAAAGGGCACUCUAAUGAGACUGCCGGUGACAAACCGGAGGGGAAGGUGGGGAUGACGUCAAGUCCUCAUGGCCCUUAUGGGUAGGGCUUCACACGUCAUACAAUGGUCGGGACAGAGGGUCGCCAACCCGCGAGGGGGAGCCAAUCAGAAACCCGAUCGUAGUCCGGAUCGCAGUCUGCAACUCGACU
RNAcentral lists this ribosomal RNA (1279 nucleotides) under uncultured Bordetella sp. RNAcentral's name for it is "partial 16S-23S ribosomal RNA intergenic spacer". It matches the Rfam family "Bacterial small subunit ribosomal RNA", at positions 10 to 1317 of the family's 1533-position model. The record is from RNAcentral. Lineage: Bacteria; Pseudomonadati; Pseudomonadota; Betaproteobacteria; Burkholderiales; Alcaligenaceae.